Cydia splendana is the source of this 2272-nucleotide long non-coding RNA. RefSeq lists it as uncharacterized. The record is from RefSeq and is a predicted model, not a curated record. Lineage: Eukaryota; Metazoa; Arthropoda; Insecta; Lepidoptera; Tortricidae. The transcript has 2 exons.
CUUACUGCCUUCUUAUAAAGUCUCUACACAUAGAUAUUGGCUGCAAAUGGAUUUUGACAAAUACUUCAUAUAAAGUCAAGUUUGCGUUAUCGGGAAACAAACGACGUUCGCACUUGGUUCUAAAUUCAAAUCGUUUUCAAAAUGGCCGUAGGAAGGAUAUUAUUGCUGUUGGCAGUUUUGGUGGUUUUGGAAGUAUCACAUAGCCAAAUAAUUGGCGGCUUCGGCGGCUACGGCGGCGGCAUCGGCGUCAUCGGCUUCGGUCGGCGUUACGGCUAUGGCGGCUACGGCUACCCCGGCUACUACGGAGGCUACAGGCCUUUCUACCCCCCUCCACCUCCACCGCCACCACCCUUCUUUGGAUGAGAUAACUGGCACGAUUUAUUUCGCUACGAUAAAAAUUGGAUAGUGGAGAUUUUAUGAACUAAAAAUAGCGUUUAAGGAUGAAUAGCCUACAAAAUUAGCCUACAUAAUUGUGUUGACGUUUGCAGCGUCGAGCGUCAAGCGUUGGACUAAAAACAUGUAUUAAUAUGGACGCUACAAGCGUAACUGUCGGCCAAAAACGCUAGGAGCGUUUUUCGUGGUGCGUUAGCGAUAAAUGUAUAAAAAUAUGUUCUCUUUUUAAGUUACAAUUAUUUGGUCUCGAGACCAUGGAAUUAUUUGACCCUAAUCUACUAUAUCCUAAUUGAAGUUUACUGUUCAUCAUAAUCAAAGGCAGAAAUGUAUAAUAUUAGGUCCUUACCUAUGAAAUUGGCGUUUUUGUUCAUAGAUAUAAGUCUGAUCCUAGUUUUUUUUUUUACAAAAGUACAUACACAAUUACAAUAAAACUACAGUGCACUCAAUAAACAACGAUUUUACAUACAAUUAAUUGUUAUUUUUUAUUGUUAAGUGUUCAGAAUUAAGCCUUGAAAAUAGGUCUUUUCAUGUGCUGUCGGUUCGAGUAUUAAAAUUACUUAUAUUUUUCUAAUGGUACCAAUUUUCAAGAAAUGGAGAUAUUGAAAACAUACCUUAAAGGUGUCAAAAAUUACUGGAAAAAUUUUGUUUGGUUUGAAUUAGCCAUCAAAAAAAUAUCCGCAAAAUUAAUUGUAUGGAAAUUCGUGUUUCGUUGAAAUUCUCCGAACAAAACGCCAAUUUCAUAGGUAAUGACCUAAUAUAAUAUAUGAUAGUCAAAUGUUAAUACCAGUCGAAAAGUAAAUGAUUGAAAUUAACUCGUUACUUUCCGUUUGCAUUUAUUAUUCAGAUUUUUUUUUUUACUUUUCCGAUUGGAGUUAAUGAUUAACGUUAAUCAUCUUGGCUACGCCAGGAGAGCAGAAUGAAACUACGUAUUAAAAUUAAAUUAUUUUUUUUAUGUGUAGUAUUUCCAGUGAAGUAGGUACAUAUUUUAAGAUAAAUAUUUAUUUUUAUUUUUAAUGUACCUAAUUGUACCAUCCUGAGAUUCAAUUAUAAUGUACUGUUAAGAGAGAAAACACCAUACAUCAUUAAAUAAAGGAUUUAAUACAUAAAACUCGGAAAACAGGCGUAGCUUCAAGUAAAUCACACUCCGACGCAGUAAUGGCGGGCGAUGCUCUUCUGACAGUCCGGGUCGCGCCAGUCCUAGUGUCACCACUGACACCUACCGUAGGGCUGCGUUCGAGCAAACCACAUAAUCGGUUAUCAGUUCGGCCUCCUGAUGAAAAAACCUUCGCCCACGAAGGUCAGCAAGCGGCGCCACAGCACUUCCGUCUUCGCGCACCUCCCAAGUCGGUUAAAGGGAAUCGUGACGUAACCUACUGGUACUCAGCGACUACGUUGACCGCGAUGACUGUGCUACACAUAUCAAAACACAAGCCAAUUUGCAUCUGUUACAGUGCCAAGUCAUAUUCUGACGUUGAGACCCCUUUAGGCCACAUCAGAGGUUUCUAUUUCUUAAAGUAAAUAAAUUCGAUCAUCAACUCUCAAACAAUGAGCAGUCGUCGGCUCAUAUUAUAUCUAACCGUGUACUACCUCUUAUUAUUUUAAUUUAGGAGGAUUAAAGAAUUAUCAUGUAGUCAAGAGUGACCCUUUAAAGCAAAUGUCAUAUAGACACAUAUCAGUUCUUAAAUGAAACAUGAUGUAGACAAUACUCAGCCUCUCUAAGCAAGUAUCAACUCCUGAAGGAAAGCAUCAGGUAGACAAAUAUAAAUUCUUAAGGCAAACAUCUUGUAGACAUCUGUCAGCUCAUAAAGCAAACAUCUUGUAGGCAACUGUCAGCUCUUGAAUCAAAUAUAGACUUUUAAAGAAAAACAUCAUGUAGACA